AGAUUGAACGCUGGCGGCAGGCCUAACACAUGCAAGUCGAGCGGUAGAGAGGUGCUUGCACCUCUUGAGAGCGGCGGACGGGUGAGUAAUGCCUAGGAAUCUGCCUAGUGGUGGGGGAUAACGUUCGGAAACGGACGCUAAUACCGCAUACGUCCUACGGGAGAAAGCGGGGGACCUUCGGGCCUCGCGCCAUUAGAUGAGCCUAGGUCGGAUUAGCUAGUUGGUGAGGUAAUGGCUCACCAAGGCGACGAUCCGUAACUGGUCUGAGAGGAUGAUCAGUCACACUGGAACUGAGACACGGUCCAGACUCCUACGGGAGGCAGCAGGUGGGGAAUAUUGGACAAUGGGACGAAAGCCUGACUCCAGCCAGUGCCGCGUGUGUAGAAGGAAGGUCUUACGGAUUAGUAAAGCUAACGUUUUAAGUGGGUAGGAAGGUUAGUAAACUUUAAGUACGUUGACUACGUUUGACGUUACCGA
This 477-nucleotide ribosomal RNA is filed under the name uncultured soil bacterium. RNAcentral describes it as "bacterial SSU rRNA". It matches the Rfam family "Bacterial small subunit ribosomal RNA", at positions 26 to 481 of the family's 1533-position model. The record is from RNAcentral.